Molecule: long non-coding RNA, 493 nt
Organism: Monopterus albus (swamp eel)
Lineage: Eukaryota; Metazoa; Chordata; Actinopteri; Synbranchiformes; Synbranchidae
Exons: 3
Source: RefSeq, a predicted model, not a curated record
AAACAGGCAAUCUGGUGAACAACUGGUUCAGUGGGUAGGGUCCUUGUAAACUGUCGCGCCUGCGCCGUGUUGAUCUGGGUGGAACUGUUAUGUACCUUUGCAAUUACUUUUUAGUAGAAGAAUGUGAAGAAUAUUGGCUUUUUAGUCAUAGGAGUGAGUGCUGCCAAACAUCAUGGUCAAAGUCCACCCAUCAAUAGUUCGGGCUGGGGGUCAGUUUGAAAUACAUUCGUCAGAUCUCAACCAAACAUUGUUUCACUGUCUUCUCUGUCCUAAGUUCAAGUUAAAAUCCAGCAGGAGGAUCCAGAGACACAUGGAGGGCCAUAUAAACACUGCAUUGCAUAUUGAAGGUAACAUCAUUUGUAGAUGCAACCAACCAUGCAGACCGACCAGCCAUUAUCAUUGCCCCUACUGUGGUAGAACGAUUCUACGGAAGGAACAUAUGGAAACUCACGUGAAUGGAUGCCAAACUAAAUGUCCACCACCCCUGACUUUG